UGCAAGUCGAACGGGAACUCUAGACUGAAGGUUCGCUGGAUGUUUAGAAAUUCUAGUGGCGGACGGGUGAGUAACGACGUGGGUAACCUGCCUAUAAGACGUGAACAACAGUUAGAAAUGACUGCUAAUACACGAUAAGCACACCAGUAUCGCAUGAUACAGUGUGAAAAGAAUUUCGCUUAUAGAUGGACCCGCGUCUGAUUAGCCAGUUGGUGGGGUAACGGCCUACCAAAGCAACGAUCAAUAGCCGGCCUGAGAGGGCGACCGGCCACAUUGGGACUGAGACACGGCCCAAACUCCUACGGGAGGCAGCAGUGGGGAAUAUUGGACAAUGGGGGCAACCCUGAUCCAAGCAACGCCGCGUGAGUGAUGAAGUAUCUUGGUAUGUAAAGCUCUAUCAGUAGGAACGAAAAUGACGGUACCUAACUAAGAAGCCCCGGCUAACUAACGUGCCAGCAGCAGC
Molecule: ribosomal RNA, 463 nt
Filed under: uncultured bacterium
Lineage: Bacteria
Description: bacterial SSU rRNA
Rfam family: Bacterial small subunit ribosomal RNA
Source: RNAcentral